Molecule: long non-coding RNA, 123 nt
Organism: Thalassophryne amazonica
Lineage: Eukaryota; Metazoa; Chordata; Actinopteri; Batrachoidiformes; Batrachoididae
Exons: 3
Source: RefSeq, a predicted model, not a curated record
AUCACACGGUUUUGGUUAAUUAUAGGCCCAUUUCCAAGCUGUCUUUUCUUUCUAAGGUUUUAGAGAAAAUUGUUUUUUGUCAGUUGAAGCAGUUUUUAGAUGAGAAUGGCAUCAUGGAGGUUU